Empidonax traillii (willow flycatcher) is the source of this 250-nucleotide long non-coding RNA. RefSeq lists it as uncharacterized. The record is from RefSeq and is a predicted model, not a curated record. Lineage: Eukaryota; Metazoa; Chordata; Aves; Passeriformes; Tyrannidae. The transcript is spliced from 3 exons.
UAUUUAAAAAAUAAACAAAACCCGAAAAAACCCACGCCAAACCCGAAAGACUUACCAGGUAAAUAGCCCAAGGCAAAUAACUGAAGCUCAAACAAGCGUGACUCAGCAGUCACUCUGAAUGUCUUCAUCAGCUGCUGCCAGCUACACCCAGACAAGGCAAACAGCGCCCGGAAAAGUGCAUUCUGUAAGUGUCUGUGUGUGACUCACAGCUGCCCUGCCCUCCUUAUAUGAAUAUCAAAGGGAUCCAGAA